This 450-nucleotide ribosomal RNA is filed under the name uncultured bacterium. RNAcentral's name for it is "partial 16S ribosomal RNA". It matches the Rfam family "Bacterial small subunit ribosomal RNA", at positions 354 to 796 of the family's 1533-position model. The record is from RNAcentral.
GUAAGGAAUAUUGGUCAAUGGGGGCAACCCUGAACCAGCCAUGCCGCGUGAAGGAUGAAGGCGUUAUGCGUUGUAAACUUCUUUUGUAUGGGAAGAAUGACAGGGAUUUAUCCUUGGAGAGACGGUACCAUACGAAUAAGCACCGGCUAACUCCGUGCCAGCAGCCGCGGUAAUACGGAGGGUGCAAGCGUUAUACGGAAUCACUGGGUUUAAAGGGUACGUAGGCGGUUCAUUAAGUUAGUCAGUAUUUAAAUACUGUCGCUCAUCGACGGAUGUGCUAUUGAUACUUGUUAACUUGAAUCAGUUUAGAUUUUGCGGAAUGUGUCAUGUAGCGGAGAAAUGCUUAGAUAUGACUUGGAACACCGAUAGCGAAGGCAGCUGACUGAGCCUUGAUUGACGCUGUGGUACGAAAGUGUGGGUAGCGAACAGGAUUAGAUACCCUAGUAGUCC